CAAGUCGAGUGCGCGUUUCUGUAGCAAUACAGGAAUGGCGCACGGCGCACGGGAUGCGUAACACGUGGGUAAUCUGCCCUCUGAUGGGGAAUAACCCGCCGAAAGGCGGGCUAAUUCCGCAUAACAUUCCUUGGACUCCGGUUCGAGGAUUCAAAGGCGUAAGUCGUCGGAGGUGGAGCCCGCGCACGAUUAGCUAGUUGGUAGGGUAACGGCCUACCAAGGCUUUGAUCGUUAGCUGGUCUGAGAGGAUGGCCAGCCACACUGGAACUGAGACACGGUCCAGACUCCUACGGGAGGCAGCAGUGGGGAAUCUUGCACAAUGGGCGAAAGCCUGAUGCAGCGACGCCGCGUGGGGGAUGAAGCUUCUCGGAGUGUAAACCCCUUUCGACCCGGACGAAUGCCCCGCAAGGGGAGUGACGGUACGGGUAUAAGAAGCCCCGGCUAACUACGUGCCAGCAGCCGCGGUAAGACGUAGGGGGCCAGCGUUGUUCGGAAUUACUGGGUGUAAAGGGUUCGUAGGCGGUGUAGCAAGUUGGGAGUGAAAUCUCUGGGCUCAACUCAGAGGCUGCUUCCAAACUGCUGUGCUGGAGUGUGGGAGAGGCGCGUGGAAUUGCAGGUGUAGCGGUGAAAUGCGUAGAUAUCUGCAGGAACACCCGUGGCGAAGGCGGCGCGCUGGACCACUACUGACGCUGAGGAACGAAAGCUAGGGGAGCAAACAGGAUUAGAUACCCUGGUAGUCCUAGCCCUAAACGAUCAGGACUUGGGGUGCCACCCGUUCGGGUGUCGUCCCGGAGCUAACGCGUUAAGUCCUGCACCUGGGGAGUACGGUCGCAAGACUGAAACUCAAAGGAAUUGACGGGGGCCC
Molecule: ribosomal RNA, 865 nt
Filed under: uncultured Pseudomonadota bacterium
Lineage: Bacteria; Pseudomonadati; Pseudomonadota
Description: bacterial SSU rRNA
Rfam family: Bacterial small subunit ribosomal RNA
Source: RNAcentral